RNAcentral lists this ribosomal RNA (143 nucleotides) under Typhula incarnata. Its description in RNAcentral is "5.8S ribosomal RNA". It matches the Rfam family "5.8S ribosomal RNA". From Rfam's summary of the family: 5.8S ribosomal RNA (5.8S rRNA) is a component of the large subunit of the eukaryotic ribosome. It is transcribed by RNA polymerase I as part of the 45S precursor that also contains 18S and 28S rRNA. Functionally, it is thought that 5.8S rRNA may be involved in ribosome translocation. The record is from RNAcentral. Lineage: Eukaryota; Fungi; Basidiomycota; Agaricomycetes; Agaricales; Typhulaceae.
ACUUUUAACAACGGAUCUCUUGGCUCUCGCAUCGAUGAAGAACGCAGCGAAUGCGAUAGUAUGUGAUGCAGAUUCAGUGAUCAUCGAUCUUUGAACGCCCUUGCGCUCCUGGUAUUCGGGAGCAUGCCUGUUGAGUGUCAUUA